UCCAAAGCAAUAUCUAUACUAACUUUGACAUGUAGGUACAUUUUAUUUUGUAGUUUGUUGGGGGUGUGAUAAAUGGCUUAUACUUGUACCUUUUACAGUGGGGUCGUGAGCUUUUGAGAAAGGGAAGAGUAAUAUUCAUGGUCUAGUAGGUAGUAGUGUGAUAGUAGAUUGAGUGGCUUUAGUUAGGUUUGAAUGAAGAAAAUAAGGUUGUUAUAGUGCUGUAAGAUGAGAUAGAGGAAAGAUUAAAAGAAUAGGUUGUUUAAAUUGACUUUAUGGAUGUUAUUUGGGAGAAGAGAAUGAUAGAAUAGUUGGUUUGUUAAGGUUUUGUUAGGUGUAUAAAAAUGUGUACUUGAUACCAUAUUUCUUGCAACAUGGGUAUAAAAUUUUUCCUAAAUUCAAGCAACUUUUUUUUUAUUCAAACCAAUCCAGUUUAUUCUAUCCCCUUUAUCCCAAGCAACAAGUUUAUCACAGACCCAAAAUCAACCAUUUUUCUCACAUUACAACUCACACCAUCUUCCAUUAUUAUGAACCUAUCAGAACAUGCAAAAUAUCUUGCACUAGUAUUUAUCAUAAAAUAAAAUCAUAAUCAAUGAUCAGGCAAUUCACCCACGAUAAAUUUCUCAAAUUCGAUUGUAUUAACUUAAUGUGCCAGCAUCAAAGACCAACUUGUCGUGGCAACCACAAAUGCACCGCAUAGUUA
This 700-nucleotide long non-coding RNA is filed under the name Vigna radiata. Its description in RNAcentral is "long non-coding RNA (VRAD_LNC011176)". The record is from RNAcentral. Lineage: Eukaryota; Viridiplantae; Streptophyta; Magnoliopsida; Fabales; Fabaceae.